Molecule: ribosomal RNA, 854 nt
Filed under: uncultured organism
Description: bacterial SSU rRNA
Rfam family: Bacterial small subunit ribosomal RNA
Source: RNAcentral
GAAGGGACCUAGCGUAGUUCGGAAUUACUGGGCUUAAAGAGUUCGUAGGUGGUUAAAAAAGUUGAUGGUGAAAUCCCAGAGCUUAACUCUGGAACUGCCAUCAAAACUUUUUAGCUAGAGUAUGAUAGAGGAAAGCAGAAUUUCUAGUGUAGAGGUGAAAUUCGUAGAUAUUAGAAAGAAUACCAAUUGCGAAGGCAGCUUUCUGGAUCAUUACUGACGCUGAGGAACGAAAGCAUGGGUAGCGAAGAGGAUUAGAUACCCUCGUAGUCCAUGCCGUAAACGAUGUGUGUUAGACGUUGGGAAUUUAUUUUCAGUGUCGCAGUGAAAACAAUAAACACACCGCCUGGGGAGUACGACCGCAAGGUUAAAACUCAAAUGAAUUGACGGGGACCCGCACAAGUAGUGGAGCAUGUGGUUUAAUUCGAAGAUACGCGCAGAACCUUACCAACACUUGACAUGUUCGUCGCGACUCUAAGAGAUUAGAGUUUUCGGUUCGGCCGGACGAAACACAGGUGCUGCAUGGCUGUCGUCAGCUCGUGUCGUGAGAUGUUGGGUUAAGUCCCGCAACGAGCGCAACCCUUACUUUUAGUUGCCAUCAUUUAGUUGGGCACUCUGAAAGAACUGCCAGUGAUAAGCUGGAGGAAGGUGGGGAUGACGUCAAGUCCUCAUGGCCCUUAUGUGUUGGGCUACACACGUGCUACAAUGGUAUCUACAACAGGAAGCAAAACAGCGAUGUUAAGCAAAUCCCGAAAAGAUACCUCAGUUCGGAUUGCACUCUGCAACUCGAGUGCAUGAAGCUGGAAUUACUAGUAAUCGUGGAUCAGCGUGCCACGGUGAAUACGUUCCCGGGUCUU